This 323-nucleotide unclassified non-coding RNA is filed under the name soil metagenome. RNAcentral's name for it is "partial contains 5.8S ribosomal RNA, internal transcribed spacer 2, and large subunit ribosomal RNA". The stretch from base 1 to 120 matches the Rfam family "5.8S ribosomal RNA", at positions 35 to 154 of the family's 154-position model. The record is from RNAcentral.
GAUGAAGAACGUAGCGAAAUGCGAUAAGUAAUGUGAAUUGCAGAAUUCAGUGAAUCAUCGAAUCUUUGAACGCACAUUGCGCCCCUUGGUAUUCCGAGGGGCAUGCCUGUUCGAGCGUCAUUAUAACCCCUCAAGCUCAGCUUGGUGUUGGGGCCUGCUGCACUGGCAGCCCUUAAAAUCAGUGGCGGCGCCAUCUGGCUCUAAGCGUAGUACAUCUCUCGCUCCAGUGCCCGGUGGUAGCCUGCCAGAACCCCAACUCUCGUGGUUGACCUCGGAUCAGGUAGGGAUACCCGCUGAACUUAAGCAUAUCAAUAAGCGGAGGA